This 274-nucleotide ribosomal RNA is filed under the name uncultured bacterium. RNAcentral describes it as "partial 16S ribosomal RNA". It matches the Rfam family "Bacterial small subunit ribosomal RNA", at positions 523 to 796 of the family's 1533-position model. The record is from RNAcentral.
AUACGGAGGAUCCAAGCGUUAUCCGGAAUCAUUGGGUUUAAAGGGUCCGUAGGCGGGUUUAUAAGUCAGUGGUGAAAGUUUGCGGCUCAACCGUAAAAUUGCCAUUGAUACUGUAGAUCUUGAAUUAGUGUGAAGUGAUUAGAAUAAGUAGUGUAGCGGUGAAAUGCAUAGAUAUUACUUAGAAUACCAAUUGCGAAGGCAGGUCACUAACACUAUAUUGACGCUGAGGGACGAAAGCGUGGGGAGCGAACAGGAUUAGAGACCCCAGUAGUCC